Molecule: ribosomal RNA, 397 nt
Filed under: Brachybacterium sp. oral taxon A83
Lineage: Bacteria; Bacillati; Actinomycetota; Actinomycetes; Micrococcales; Dermabacteraceae
Description: bacterial SSU rRNA
Rfam family: Bacterial small subunit ribosomal RNA
Source: RNAcentral
GACGAACGCUGGCGGCGUGCUUAACACAUGCAAGUCGAACGAUGACGGUGGUGCUUGCACCGCCUGAUUAGUGGCGAACGGGUGAGUAACACGUGAGUAACCUGCCCCCCACUUCGGGAUAACCUCGGGAAAUCGUGGCUAAUACCGGAUAUGAGCACUCAUCGCAUGGUGGGUGUUGGAAAGAUUUAUCGGUGGGGGAUGGACUCGCGGCCUAUCAGUUUGUUGGUGAGGUGAUGGCUCACCAAGACGAUGACGGGUAGCCGGCCUGAGAGGGCGACCGGCCACACUGGGACUGAGACACGGCCCAGACUCCUACGGGAGGCAGCAGUGGGGAAUAUUGCACAAUGGGCGAAAGCCCUGAUGCAGCGACGCCGCGUGGGGGAUGACGGGCCUUCCG